This 372-nucleotide RNase P RNA is filed under the name Muribaculaceae bacterium. RNAcentral's name for it is "RNase P RNA component class A". It matches the Rfam family "Bacterial RNase P class A". From Rfam's summary of the family: Ribonuclease P (RNase P) is a ubiquitous endoribonuclease, found in archaea, bacteria and eukarya as well as chloroplasts and mitochondria. Its best characterised activity is the generation of mature 5'-ends of tRNAs by cleaving the 5'-leader elements of precursor-tRNAs. The record is from RNAcentral. Lineage: Bacteria; Pseudomonadati; Bacteroidota; Bacteroidia; Bacteroidales; Muribaculaceae.
GCAGAAGCGUGGUCUGUCGCUUGGCUUUUUCAUGAGCCAAGAGGAAAGUCCGGGCAACAUAGGGCAACAUGUUUCCUAACGGGAAGCCGGCGGCGACGUCGGGGAUAAGUGACAGAAAACAACCGCCUUCAUUCCGCAAGGCAUGAAGGUAAGGGUGAAAAGGCGGGGUAAGAGCCCACCGGGUCCUAUGGCGACAUAGGAUGCCGCACAUCCCAUGUGUUGCAAGGCCAAAUAUACCGGCAGCAAAGGAUUGCCCGUCCAUUGCCGGGGGGUAGGCUGCUCAAGCUCGCGGGCAACCGUGCAGAUUAGAUAAAUGACAGACCCCUGUUCACGAAACAGGGACAUAACCCGGCUUACAUCGCUUCUGCCCCU